RNAcentral lists this ribosomal RNA (247 nucleotides) under uncultured Eubacteriales bacterium. Its description in RNAcentral is "uncultured Clostridiales bacterium partial 16S ribosomal RNA". It matches the Rfam family "Bacterial small subunit ribosomal RNA", at positions 796 to 1041 of the family's 1533-position model. The record is from RNAcentral. Lineage: Bacteria; Bacillati; Bacillota; Clostridia; Eubacteriales.
CACGCCAUAAACGAUGAAUACUAGGUGUAGGGGGUAUCGACCCCCUCUGUGCCGACGUUAACACAUUAAGUAUUCCACCUGGGGAGUACGGCCGCAAGGUUAAAACUCAAAGGAAUUGACGGGGGCCCGCACAAGCAGUGGAGUAUGUGGUUUAAUUCGAAGCAACGCGAAGAACCUUACCAGGGCUUGACAUCCUCGGACGACACUAGAGAUAGUGUUUUCUCUUCGGAGACUGAGAGACAGGUGG